RNAcentral lists this transfer RNA (74 nucleotides) under Microgenomates group bacterium RIFCSPLOWO2_01_FULL_47_10. Its description in RNAcentral is "tRNA-Ala". It matches the Rfam family "tRNA". From Rfam's summary of the family: Transfer RNA (tRNA) molecules are approximately 80 nucleotides in length. The record is from RNAcentral.
GGGCCGUUAGUAUAGUGGUAGUACGGUGCAUUCGCAUUGCACAGACGGGAGUCCGAUUCUCCCACGGUCCACCU